GUGCAUCGUGGCGUCCGGGACAUAGAGUGGACUGAGACUUUCUUUGGAGUUCUGGUGAUCUUUGGAUUUCUGCUUGUGACUGUGUUAUGGACAGCUUGGGACCUGACUCCGUGGCCAGUUCCUCUGGAGGAAGAGUGGCUCCUGACCGGCAAAAUAAAAUUCUUGUUCGGACUCUAUCACGGUGUAGUGUCUUGA
This is a long non-coding RNA of Fukomys damarensis (Damara mole-rat), 195 nucleotides long. RefSeq lists it as uncharacterized. The transcript has 3 exons. NCBI's taxonomy places the organism in Eukaryota, Metazoa, Chordata, Mammalia, Rodentia, Bathyergidae. The record is from RefSeq and is a predicted model, not a curated record.